RNAcentral lists this ribosomal RNA (497 nucleotides) under uncultured bacterium. Its description in RNAcentral is "partial 16S ribosomal RNA". It matches the Rfam family "Bacterial small subunit ribosomal RNA", at positions 28 to 507 of the family's 1533-position model. The record is from RNAcentral.
GACGAACGCUGGCGGCGUGCCUAAUACAUGCAAGUAGAACGCUGAAGAGAGGAGCUUGCUCUUCUUGGAUGAGUUGCGAACGGGUGAGUAACGCGUAGGUAACCUGCCUUGUAGCGGGGGAUAACUAUUGGAAACGAUAGCUAAUACCGCAUAACAAUGGAUGACACAUGUCAUUUAUUUGAAAGGGGCAAUUGCUCCACUACAAGAUGGACCUGCGUUGUAUUAGCUAGUAGGUGAGGUAACGGCUCACCUAGGCGACGAUACAUAGCCGACCUGAGAGGGUGAUCGGCCACACUGGGACUGAGACACGGCCCAGACUCCUACGGGAGGCAGCAGUAGGGAAUCUUCGGCAAUGGGGGCAACCCUGACCGAGCAACGCCGCGUGAGUGAAGAGGGUUUUCGGAUCGUAAAGCUCUGUUGUAAGUCAAGAACGAGUGUGAGAGUGGAAAGUUCACACUGUGACGGUAGCUUACCAGAAAGGGACGGCUAACUACGUG